CGUAGCCGACCUGAGAGGGUGAUCGGCCACACUGGGACUGAGACACGGCCCAGACUCCUACGGGAGGCAGCAGUAGGGAAUCUUCCGCAAUGGACGAAAGUCUGACGGAGCGACGCCGCGUGAGUGAUGAAGGUCUUCGGAUCGUAAAACUCUGUUGUGAGGGAAGAACAAGGGUGAGUUGAAGAAGCUCACCCCUUGACGGUACCUCACCAGAAAGCCCCGGCUAACUACGUGCCAGCAGCCGCGGUAAUACGUAGGGGGCGAGCGUUGUCCGGAAUUAUUGGGCGUAAAGGGCGCGCAGGCGGCCUUCUAAGUCUGAUGUGAAAUCUCGUGGCUUAACCACGAACGGUCAUUGGAAACUGGAGGGCUUGAGUACAGAAGAGGAGAGUGGAAUUCCACGUGUAGCGGUGAAAUGCGCAGAGAUGUGGAGGAACACCAGUGGCGAAGGCGACUCUCUGGCCUGUAACUGACGCUGAGGCGCAAAAGCGUGGGUAGCAAACAGGAUUAGAUACCCUGGUAGUCCACGCCGUAAACGAUGAGUGCUAGGUGUUAAGGGGUUUCCGCCCCUUAGUGCUGCAGU
RNAcentral lists this ribosomal RNA (580 nucleotides) under uncultured bacterium. Its description in RNAcentral is "bacterial SSU rRNA". It matches the Rfam family "Bacterial small subunit ribosomal RNA", at positions 282 to 852 of the family's 1533-position model. The record is from RNAcentral.